This 1317-nucleotide ribosomal RNA is filed under the name uncultured bacterium. Its description in RNAcentral is "partial 16S ribosomal RNA". It matches the Rfam family "Bacterial small subunit ribosomal RNA", at positions 36 to 1383 of the family's 1533-position model. The record is from RNAcentral.
CUGGCGGCGUGCCUAAUACAUGCAAGUCGAACGAUGAAGCUCUAGCUUGCUAGAGUGGAUUAGUGGCGCACGGGUGAGUAAUGCAUAGAUAACAUGCCCUUUAGUCUAGGAUAGCCAUUGGAAACGAUGAUUAAUACUGGAUACUCCUUACGAGGGAAAGUUUUUCGCUAAAGGAUUGGUCUAUGUCCUAUCAGCUUGUUGGUGAGGUAAUGGCUCACCAAGGCUAUGACGGGUAUCCGGCCUGAGAGGGUGAACGGACACACUGGAACUGAGACACGGUCCAGACUCCUACGGGAGGCAGCAGUAGGGAAUAUUGCUCAAUGGGGGAAACCCUGAAGCAGCAACGCCGCGUGGAGGAUGAAGGUUUUCGGAUUGUAAACUCCUUUUGUUAGAGAAGAUAAUGACGGUAUCUAACGAAUAAGCACCGGCUAACUCCGUGCCAGCAGCCGCGGUAAUACGGAGGGUGCAAGCGUUACUCGGAAUCACUGGGCGUAAAGAGCGCGUAGGCGGGAUAGCAAGUCAGAUGUGAAAUCCUAUGGCUUAACCAUAGAACUGCAUUUGAAACUGUUAUUCUAGAGUAUGGGAGAGGUAGGUGGAAUUCUUGGUGUAGGGGUAAAAUCCGUAGAGAUCAAGAGGAAUACUCAUUGCGAAGGCGACCUGCUAGAACAUAACUGACGCUGAUGCGCGAAAGCGUGGGGAGCAAACAGGAUUAGAUACCCUGGUAGUCCACGCCCUAAACGAUGAAUGCUAGUUGUUGUGGAGCUUGUCUCUGCAGUAAUGCAGCUAACGCAUUAAGCAUUCCGCCUGGGGAGUACGGUCGCAAGAUUAAAACUCAAAGGAAUAGACGGGGACCCGCACAAGCGGUGGAGCAUGUGGUUUAAUUCGAAGAUACACGAAGAACCUUACCUAGGCUUGACAUUGAUAGAAUCCGCUAGAGAUAGUGGAGUGCUAGCUUGCUAGAACUUGAAAACAGGUGCUGCACGGCUGUCGUCAGCUCGUGUCGUGAGAUGUUGGGUUAAGUCCCGCAACGAGCGCAACCCUCGUCCUUAGUUGCUAACUAUUCGGUAGAGCACUCUAAGGAGACUGCCUUCGCAAGGAGGAGGAAGGUGAGGAUGACGUCAAGUCAUCAUGGCCCUUACGCCUAGGGCUACACACGUGCUACAAUGGGAAGCACAAAGAGAUGCAAUAUUGUGAAAUGGAGCAAAUCUAUAAAACUUCUCUCAGUUCGGAUUGUAGUCUGCAACUCGACUACAUGAAGCUGGAAUCGCUAGUAAUCGUAAAUCAGCUAUGUUACGGUGAAUACGUUCCCGGGUCUUG